RNAcentral lists this ribosomal RNA (1486 nucleotides) under uncultured bacterium. RNAcentral's name for it is "16S ribosomal RNA". It matches the Rfam family "Bacterial small subunit ribosomal RNA". The record is from RNAcentral.
UGGCUCAGGAUGAACGCUAGCGACAGGCCUAACACAUGCAAGUCGAGGGGCAUCGGGGCGAGGAGCAAUCCUUGCCGCCGGCGACCGGCGCACGGGUGAGUAACGCGUAUGCGACCUGCCCGUUGCAGGGGGAUAAUCGGGAGAAAUCCCGUCUAAUACCGCGUAACGCCGCGGGGCUGCAUGGCCCUGCGGCCAAAGGGAGCGAUUCCGGCAACGGAUGGGCAUGCGUGACAUUAGCUAGUUGGCGGGGCAACGGCCCACCAAGGCGACGAUGUCUAGGGGUUCUGAGAGGAAGGUCCCCCACACUGGUACUGAGACACGGACCAGACUCCUACGGGAGGCAGCAGUGAGGAAUAUUGGUCAAUGGGCGCGAGCCUGAACCAGCCAAGUCGCGUGAGGGAUGACGGCCCUACGGGUUGUAAACCUCUUUUGUCGGGGAGCAAAUUCCGCCACGUGUGGCGGAGUCGAGAGUACCCGAAGAAAAAGCAUCGGCUAACUCCGUGCCAGCAGCCGCGGUAAUACGGAGGAUGCGAGCGUUAUCCGGAUUUAUUGGGUUUAAAGGGUGCGUAGGCGGACUGUCAAGUCAGCGGUAAAAUACGGGGGCUCAACCUCCGCCCGCCGUUGAAACUGACGGUCUUGAGUGGGCGAGAAGUAUGCGGAAUGCGUGGUGUAGCGGUGAAAUGCAUAGAUAUCACGCAGAACUCCGAUUGCGAAGGCAGCAUACCGGCGCCCAACUGACGCUGAAGCACGAAAGCGUGGGUAUCGAACAGGAUUAGAUACCCUGGUAGUCCACGCAGUAAACGAUGAAUACUAGCUGUCCGGGGCGAAUGAGCCCUGGGUGGCACAGCGAAGCGUUUAAGUAUUCCACCUGGGGAGUACGCCGGCACGGGUGAANCUCAAAGGAAUUGACGGGGGCCCGCACAAGCGGAGGACNAUGUGGUUUAAUUCGAUGAUACGCGAGGAACCUUACCCGGGCUCAAACGACACAGGAACGUACCUGAAAGGGUUCGGCUCUACGGAGCCUGUGUCGAGGUGCUGCAUGGUUGUCGUCAGCUCGUGCCGUGAGGUGUCGGCUUAAGUGCCAUAACGAGCGCAACCNCCAUCGACAGUUGCUAACAGGUUAGGCUGAGGACUCUGUCGAGACUGCCGGCGCAAGCUGCGAGGAAGGCGGGGAUGACGUCAAAUCAGCACGGCCCUUACGUCCGGGGCGACACACGUGUUACAAUGGCAGGUACAGCGGGAAGCCACCUGGCGACAGGGAGCGGAACCCGAAAGCCUGUCUCAGUUCGGAUUGGAGUCUGCAACCCGACUCCAUGAAGCUGGAUUCGCUAGUAAUCGCGCAUCAGCCACGGCGCGGUGAAUACGUUCCCGGGCCUUGUACACACCGCCCGUCAAGCCAUGGAAGCCGGGGGUGCCUGAAGUGCGCUGCCGCGAGGAGCGCCCUAGGGUAAAACCGGUGACUGGGGCUAAGUCGUAACAAGGUAGC